RNAcentral lists this long non-coding RNA (423 nucleotides) under Ananas comosus (pineapple). RNAcentral's name for it is "long non-coding RNA (ACOM_LNC010192)". Lineage: Eukaryota; Viridiplantae; Streptophyta; Magnoliopsida; Poales; Bromeliaceae. The record is from RNAcentral.
UGAGCGGUUCGGAUUCUUCGAGGCAACGGCAUAAAGGAUUUUUGGUCAGAAUUUUUUAUACUUCUCUAAUUUGGUCUUCUCGAUUUUACGAAAAGCUUUUUUCGGUAUUUUCUUGAGAGUUUUCGUUGGAACAAGAGAAAGGUGGGAUCAUCAUAAGACUCUUGAUUUUUAUCCGGAGAAGAUAUAAGGUGUAAGCUUGUACUUAUAUUUCUUCGUAUAGUGGAAUACAUCUCUCUCGCUCUCUCCGUGGAUGGAGGCAAUUGCCGAACCACGUAAAUCUUGAUUUUUUCUUUCUGCGUUUAUUUCUUUUACCAUUCGUUCAAUUUUCUCUAUUCUUUCGUGCAUCUUUGUUGGUAGUGCAUGAUGGACGAUUCAUCCGGUUCCCAACAAUCCUAAUUAAAGAAAUCACUAAAUAUUAGAAUG